Molecule: ribosomal RNA, 467 nt
Filed under: uncultured bacterium
Lineage: Bacteria
Description: partial 16S ribosomal RNA
Rfam family: Bacterial small subunit ribosomal RNA
Source: RNAcentral
GAUGAACGCUGGCGGCGUGCUUAACACAUGCAAGUCGAACGAUGAAGCCCAGCUUGCUGGGUGGAUUAGUUGCCAACGGGUGAGUAACACGUGAGUACCCUGCCCUCUACUCUGGGAUAAGCCUGGGCAACUGGGUCUAAUACCUAAUACGACCUUCGCCCUCAUGGGUUGAGGGUGGAAAGCUUUUGUGUUUUUGGAUGGACUCGGGGCCUAUCAGCUUGUUGGUUUGGUAAGGGCUCGCCAAGGCGAGGCCGGGUACCCUGCCUGAGAGGGUGACCGGCCACAAUGGGACUGAGACACGGCGCAGACUGGUACGGGAGGCAGCAGUCGGGAAUCUUGCACAAUGGGAGAAAGCCUGAUGCAGAGACGCCGCGGGUGGGAUGACGGCCUGUGGGUUAUGAACCUCUGUCAGUAGGGAAGAAGCGAGACUGACGGUACCUAAAGAAGAAGCGCCGGCUAACUACGUG